CGACGCGCUCCUUGAGCGGCGGCCCGAGUAACUCACAGGAGUGAACGUCAUCGAUCACCCGAACGGAGGCUGAACUGGCGACCUAGGCUCGCGCCACAACAUCAAAUCGACGGCCCCCGGCGGGAUGCCGGUCCCGACCGAGGGCCUGACCAGCAAGGAAGGAAAGGCUUCCUC
RNAcentral lists this non-coding RNA (174 nucleotides) under Streptomyces regalis. RNAcentral describes it as "Streptomyces sRNA 4677". It matches the Rfam family "Streptomyces sRNA 4677", at positions 61 to 246 of the family's 246-position model. Rfam says of the family: Located in the intergenic region between anti-sigma factor SCO4677 gene and a putative regulatory protein gene SCO4676. scr4677 expression requires the SCO4677 activity and scr4677 sRNA itself seem to affect the levels of the SCO4676-associated transcripts. Lineage: Bacteria; Bacillati; Actinomycetota; Actinomycetes; Kitasatosporales; Streptomycetaceae. The record is from Rfam by way of RNAcentral.